GAAAUAUAACUCAAAGUUUAUUGUUUUAUGGUGUCUCCCUCCAAAUCCUCGUAUGACGCUCCAACAAAAGGACAACCCACACCGCUAUGUCAAAGCCUUCGAGACUACGUUGAAGCUCGACUCCAUCGUAUUACCAAGGUCAAAUCAUGACGUCCCGACUUUUCAUAUCAAUAACGAGAACCUGAUCAUCAAAGUAGGCUAGAGGCCCAAAGUUCAUUUCAAUAACUCACGUACUACCCGUCGCCCUCGGAGAUGCCUUUCCGGGUGUUCAUCGUAAUCGACCGUAUAAAACGCGCACGUAUUCAUUUCACAUGAAUACGCCCACACAAUGUAUAUGAUAACCAAACCUACUUUCACCAAAACCAAAAUAACUUGGUACCCGUUCUAAUCAACUCGGUACCACCACCGUCUCACCAACCCGACUUUCAACCGAAUCACAUGGACAUUAAGUUCGAACACACUUUGUUGAAAUGUAACUCCUUUUCAUGUCCCUAGAGCGUGCAAGUUUCGUGUCAAAAAACGUGAUUUAGCAUGUUUUGGAAAAGUACGUCGCUCAGAAAUCAAUGUCUGUUCUGUCACAUUGCCUUUGUCAUUUGUUUAUAUAGGGGGU
This 610-nucleotide unclassified non-coding RNA is filed under the name Helichrysum cymosum. RNAcentral describes it as "partial 26S-18S external transcribed spacer 2". The record is from RNAcentral. Lineage: Eukaryota; Viridiplantae; Streptophyta; Magnoliopsida; Asterales; Asteraceae.